This is a long non-coding RNA of Camelus dromedarius (Arabian camel), 615 nucleotides long. RefSeq lists it as uncharacterized. The transcript has 3 exons. The record is from RefSeq and is a predicted model, not a curated record. Lineage: Eukaryota; Metazoa; Chordata; Mammalia; Artiodactyla; Camelidae.
CCUCCUCCGUACCCUGCGAAUGUGAUUCCUGCUUCUCAGAAGGGGGAUCAGACACUGUUCCCUGAAGGAUGCCAGACCAGGGGACACAACCUGAGCUCACCUGGGUGCCUUCCGUGGGAACAUCACCUUAGAAGCUGCUGUGUGGCCUUUGAGGAAAUAGUUGGACUAAAGCUCGGUGAAGGUGAACUCAUCAAAAUAAAUCAUCCCUGGAAAAUUCAACUGCUCAGAUGAGAAUGGCUUGACAGCUCUGGCAUAUGCACUCCAGUCAACAGCUGCAGGGGAGAUGGUUUCUCUUCGAGGCCAGGACUUCAGUUCUGAGAGCAUCAGCUGGCCACUCUCUGUUUCCAUGUCAUAGUGAUACACCUUGACGGCGUCUGACUCCAGAUUGUGGUGCAAUACUGAAGCACAGAAAUGAUGGAGGAGGAAGAGGAGAAAGAAGAGAAGCAACACUUUCUCUUAUGAGAUGCUCCCAGGAAGGCAAAUGAAGGGCUUGACAUUCAACAGACUCUUCCAGUUGGGAGGACCUUUUCCAUAAUCCAAGCCACAGUCCUCCCAGGAGUCAGUAAAUAGUUGGUCCCAUACAGAUCAUCUACAGAGAACAAAUGCCGCCUUGGG